RNAcentral lists this ribosomal RNA (273 nucleotides) under Staphylococcus agnetis. RNAcentral's name for it is "partial 23S ribosomal RNA". It matches the Rfam family "Bacterial large subunit ribosomal RNA", at positions 1 to 270 of the family's 2925-position model. Lineage: Bacteria; Bacillati; Bacillota; Bacilli; Caryophanales; Staphylococcaceae. The record is from RNAcentral.
AGAUUAAGUUAUUAAGGGCGCACGAUGGAUGCCUUGGCACUAGAAGCCGAUGAAGGACGUUACUAACGACGAUAUGCUUUGGGGAGCUGUAAGUAAGCUGUGAUCCAGAGAUUUCCGAAUGGGGGAACCCAGCACGAGUUAUGUCGUGUUAUCCGCAUGUGAAUACAUAGCAUGUGAGAAGGUAGACCCGGAGAACUGAAACAUCUUAGUACCCGGAGGAAGAGAAAGAAAAAUCGAUUCCCUGAGUAGCGGCGAGCGAAACGGGAAGAGCCC